Long non-coding RNA from Crotalus tigris (Tiger rattlesnake), 4123 nucleotides. RefSeq lists it as uncharacterized. The record is from RefSeq and is a predicted model, not a curated record. The transcript has 3 exons. NCBI's taxonomy places the organism in Eukaryota, Metazoa, Chordata, Lepidosauria, Squamata, Viperidae.
UGGAAAAGCCUCUGGUGGUGAAAUGCAGGCCCGAAUUCCAGUCUCAGCUGCAGAAGAAGUGGGAUGGCUGGGGGGUGGGCUGUUGUUGCUGCCACCGUGAGUUGAGUGGAAAAGAUCCAUUCAGACCUGCAUUUUGCCAUCAGAGGCCUUUCCAGAAGGCCUGUGCAGCCAAGAACUGAGCUACAGAUUGAAUCCAUAGCUCGGUUCUCAGCUGCACAGGCCUUCAGGAAAGGCAUCUGAUUGUGAAAUGCAGGCCUGAGCUUUAUUUUAACUGCAGAAUGAAGCUGCUCCUUCGGCCAAAGAGGAAGUGGGCCGGUGAGGCAAGUGUCAAUCCAUGGGAGGCCUGGUUGCAAUGGUAAGCUCCACACCCACCCUAGCUUGAUUUUUAGGCAUGUGUCUUGCCCCAAAACUAGGGCUUAUUUUGGAGUAGGGCUUAUAUUAGGCCCACCCCCCAAAAAUCAACCUAGGGCUUAUUUUUGGGGUAGGCUUUACUUUCAGGGAAAUAUGGUAGCAGUUCAGCCUGAUGAAACAAAGGAAACAAACUUCGUGUUGAUUAGUUGCCAUGCCCCAAUCCCAGAAGACAGCUAGCAAAGCAGGUCCAGUGCCUGUGGAGACCCAGAGGGGCAAAAUGGGGGGUGGUGGUCAUAAGGGCAAACAACCACUGUGGUGCUGCAACAUACAUAACUUUGGGACUGGAUUGUAAGUACUUUUGGGGGGGGGGUCAUAAUUUUGAACGGUCACUGAUUGAACUGUUGUAACUUGAGGAAUACCUGUAAUUCAUGGAUAAAAAUUAGCUAAAGAUGAAUUUGAGGAAGGUGGGUAAAGAAUCAAAGCUAUACCCAACUAUAUGCAUCACAUUCACUUUUCCAGCCUCUAUCCUUAGCUGUUCCCAUUAACCAGGCAAACUUUGCUAUUAGUCAAUCAGAAGUCAGCUGAUAAAAAGUUUCAGUUUAAAAUACUCAAACUUGAGGUGGAGCUUCUGCAUGCUCAGAAAUUGCUACCCAAAGUUUAUUCUAUAUUCUAGCAGUAUAAUUUCUCAUUGUUAUUUUUCUAAAUUUGAGGAUUUUUUUAUCAGAAUGGUAAACUAACAGUUCAAGAAAAGCCAAUUUUUUAAAAAAAUGUUUCUCUGUUACUUGCAGGGCAUAAUUUAAAAGAUGGGUGCAUGCCUUUCAUUUGGUUGAGAACCAUGCCAAAUUUUACCUGCGAUCAGGAUCAUUUAUGAAUUUUCUGACUUGGUUUCUAACUUGCUUUAACCUUUCUUCUUUUGUGUACUUCAAGUAUCAACAGUCAGUGCUAUGACUGUAAUAUGCUAAGUUCAGAUGAAGCUGGCAGCAAUCUUUAGUUAAACUGGUUUUAUUACAAGUACAAGAUCACUAUCUGCUAUAAACAAGUCUGGCUUUCUCCUGGUUCUGUUAUUUUAGGAACUGUUAGAACUGUUUCUCUUUUGCAAUACAAACCAUCCCUUCUUAAAGGUUGGCAGGAGCUAGAUGGGAAGGUAACAGCCCUACAUGAUGUCAUGUUGAUCACAUGACGAUGGAAAUAUCUUUGGACAGCACUGGCUCAAUGGCCUUGAAACGAAAUGAGUACUGCCCCCUAGAGUCAAGAAUGACUAGCGGAGUAAAAUUUGCAGCGACUUCUUCACCUUUUAUUCAUGAACAAUAUUAAUGAUUGCCUACUAUAGGUGAAAAAAUGCUGAUAGGAAGGAGAACCUGAUAUUCCUCCAUCUUUCUAAGAUGAUGCUGAAUGACAUUUGUUUGUAUUCAAUGUUUAGUGUUGUAUUUUAGAAAUCUUGCAAUAGUUCUCAUUCAAAAUUGUGAAAAAUAUUUGCUUAUGAAAUUCUCAUGGUUGCAAAAACUGUACUCUGGCAUUUACAAUGGCACAUAUGCCUUUCCUCUGGGACCAUCAGCCAUACACACCACUCACCACUUCCUGAGUGCAGGAUUGGACAACUCUGUCCUCCUCCCAUUCUCAGCCUAUCACAAAUGCACUCUUUGCCUGUGUUUUCCAGCUUUGAUCCAAAGUUUCUGUUGGUUGCUGAUUUCCAUUCUGUCUUAGGUCCUUCUGAUUAGAUGGUCUGAAAUGCUUCCUUUUCGUUUAAUGACAGCCCCAGUUCCAAUUGGUUGCAAUACCUAGGAGUCAUCCAGAGUUGCUGGGUUCCCAUAUUCUGCAAUGGUUGGCAGCAGCUAUCUUUAAAAGGAGCUGAUCUAGUAAUAGCCAUGAACUCAAUGACUUUCUCCACCCCAUGCUUUCCCAUCCCCUCUAGAAGUUCUUCACUCAAUUAAACCCUUCCUUCUUUUUCAGUUUCUGCCCAACCUGGGUGAUGUACCAAACAAGAACAGCUCAAGGAUGGACAUCCAUGGAGAAUUUACAACAGUGCUUCUCAAACUUGGCAACUUUAGAUGUUUCUGGGAGAUGAUGUCCAUACAUUUUAAAGUUGUCAGGUUUGCACUAGAGUAAUAGGACCUUUACUAUGUUGGGAAGCUGUAUAAAACAAAACACCAGCAGUAUUACCAUCUGUCACCUCCCAUAAUCAAAUAAGCCUAAAAACACCACUAAGAAAAUUCAGGAACAAUUAUUUUUCAAUAAAUUAUACUUUGUUUUUUAUAAUUUAGGAAUAGUUCUGAAGCAUAUCAAGAAUAAGGUAGAAAAAAUCUUUUUCAUAAAUACAGAAUACUUUUGAGAAGUUUUGAUGGAGGUUUUGGCACAUUAACCUGAAAAAAAUAAAGUAUUCUAACAUACUAUUAUUCUUUUAGUCUUCCAUAGGGAAAAAAUCUCCAGUAUAUCCAUAAAGCACAAACCCUGGGGCAACAGAUAAUAAUUAUAACUAGUUUUUGUCAUAUAUCCAAUCCAGAAACAUUCAGAUUUUAAAAACAUAUGCCCACACUCGUACAAAGUUUUUGCAUCAUUUGGGGUUUUUUAGCCAAAUAUUAUUUUAUAAUAUGGUUAAAGUCCAUAUUAUCCAUCUUUUCUUCCAAUUAUAUGAUUAAAUCACAUACAAGAAUAAAAUUAUAUUAGAUAUAAUGCUUUCAUUAGAUCUUACAUGAGUGCUUUUCUUCAAAAAUAGUUCUUUCAUGAAGAUCAAAUAUUUUGUCAAAGGUCAAAAAAAAGCUUUAUAAUGAGAUAUAAUAAUAUACAGAGGAAAAAUAUCUAUAAAAGUUAAGUUAAAAGUUUAUAAUUGUUUCUCAAAAAACAAAUUAAUAAUUUAAUAAUAAAUAGUUUAUCAAUGAUUACAUUAUUGUCUAAAUAUUACAUUUUAAAGUAUUAUUAAUGAUAAUUAAAUUAAUGUUUAAUAAUUAAAUUUCUCAUUUGUAUCUGCAAAAACAAAACCUCCAUUAUCUUGUGUUUGUAUUUUCUUCUACCACUGAGUAUCUGGAUAGAAAGUUGUCGUGUCAUAUUAUUUAUCUCCUCAAUGGCUAAAUCCUCUGUGGUGAUUUUGAAUCAUCAUGGAACCUUUAUCUCCUUAGCAGUCAAGGACAACCUAAUUCCAUCUUUUUUUUUUUUUUUUGGCAACUUUAAAUCCAGCUACCAGCUUCUCAACCUAUAUCAACCUAUUGUAUGUGUGAAAAAAUGCUUCAGGUAUGGUUUGUAUGCCUAGGAAACCAUGUGACAAUCUGCUUACCUUCUCUAUUCCCUCAGAGUGUUCCUAUACUAUAUCACACUACCUAGAGCAGGGGUAGGCAACCUUGGCUCUUUUAUGACUCGUGGACUUCAACUCCCAGAAUUCCUGAGCCAGCAUGGCUCAGCUUGGAAACCUCUCCCUUUCCCCCCAACAUGGCUGGCUCAGGAAUUCUGGGAGUUGAAGUCCACGAGUCAUAAAAGAGCCAAGGUUGCCUACCCCUAACCUAGAGUGACAACUUUUUUUGUGCUACAGAAACAGAUUUAAAGGAUAAAGGUUAAUUUCAGUUUUCUAUUUCAGUAGUAUGUAGAGCCUGUCAUUAUGAGUUUUUCAGGCUCCUUUGGUAUGCUGACCCUUGUUAAAUUUAAGCACAGCUAUCUCAUUUGUGCUAGCAGAUCCUAAAUACAAUGUAAUUCUGAAUGCAAACUUAUAUUGUACUGUCCUUGCCCUACAAGUCUUAAAGUUGCCAAGGUUGGACAUCCCUGCAUUAAAGAGCCCAUAACACUG